RNAcentral lists this transfer RNA (74 nucleotides) under Schistocerca americana (American grasshopper). RNAcentral describes it as "tRNA-Ile". It matches the Rfam family "tRNA". From Rfam's summary of the family: Transfer RNA (tRNA) molecules are approximately 80 nucleotides in length. Their secondary structure includes four short double-helical elements and three loops (D, anti-codon, and T loops). The record is from RNAcentral. Lineage: Eukaryota; Metazoa; Arthropoda; Insecta; Orthoptera; Acrididae.
GGCCCGUUAGCUCAGUCGGUUAGAGCGUCGUGCUAAUAACGGGAAGGUCGUGGGUUCGAUCCCCCCACGGGCCA